Molecule: ribosomal RNA, 226 nt
Filed under: Halicryptus spinulosus
Lineage: Eukaryota; Metazoa; Priapulida; Priapulimorpha; Priapulimorphida; Priapulidae
Description: partial small subunit ribosomal RNA
Rfam family: Bacterial small subunit ribosomal RNA
Source: RNAcentral
GACGUCAAGUCAAGGUGCAGACUAUAGAAAAGUAGAGAUGGGCUACAUUCAGUUUCUGAAGCGGAGGGUUUUAUGAAAAUGAACUUUGAAGUUGGAUUUAGAAGUAAAAUGAAAAUAGAAUGUUUUUUUGAAAAUAGACCUAAAACAUGUACACAUCGCCCGUCACUCUUGUUUAUAAGAUGAGAAAAGUCGUAACAAAGUAGGUGUACCGGAAGGUGCCCCUAGU